RNAcentral lists this unclassified non-coding RNA (327 nucleotides) under soil metagenome. RNAcentral's name for it is "partial contains 5.8S ribosomal RNA, internal transcribed spacer 2, and large subunit ribosomal RNA". The stretch from base 1 to 120 matches the Rfam family "5.8S ribosomal RNA", at positions 35 to 154 of the family's 154-position model. The record is from RNAcentral.
GAUGAAGAACGUAGCGAAAUGCGAUAAGUAAUGUGAAUUGCAGAAUUCAGUGAAUCAUCGAAUCUUUGAACGCACAUUGCGCCCCUUGGUAUUCCGGGGGGCAUGCCUGUUCGAGCGUCAUUAUAACCCCUCAAGCUCAGCUUGGUGUUGGGGCCUGCCGACUGGCAGCCCUUAAAAUCAGUGGCGGCGCCAUCUGGCUCUAAGCGUAGUAAUUUCUCUCGCUAUAGAGUCCCGGUGGAUGCUUGCCAGCAACCCCCAACUUUCUAUGGUUGACCUCGGAUCAGGUAGGGAUACCCGCUGAACUUAAGCAUAUCAACAAGCGGAGGA